RNAcentral lists this ribosomal RNA (535 nucleotides) under Candidatus Woesearchaeota archaeon. RNAcentral's name for it is "bacterial SSU rRNA". It matches the Rfam family "Archaeal small subunit ribosomal RNA", at positions 940 to 1478 of the family's 1478-position model. Lineage: Archaea; Nanobdellati; Candidatus Woesearchaeota. The record is from RNAcentral.
CGGCAGGAUGAAGGUCAGUCUAAAGGGCUUACCUGACGAGCCGAGAGGUAGUGCAUGGCCGCCGUCAGCUCGUGCCGUAAGGUGUCCUGUUAAGUCAGGCAACGAGCGAGACCUGUACUCACAAUUGCUAACAGGUUCAUCGAAUGACUGAGCACAUUGUGGGAACUGCCUUCGAAAGAAGGAGGAAGGUGCAGGCUACGGUAGGUCUGUAUGCUCCGAAUCUUCUGGGCUACACGCGCGCAACAAUGGCAGAGACAAUGGGAUGCGACUCCGAAAGGAGAAGCCAAUCCUCGAAACUCUGUCCUAGUCCAGAUCGUGGGCUGUAACUCGCCCACGUGACGUUGGAAUCCCUAGUAAUCGGAUUUUAUCAUAGUCCGGUGAAUAUGUCCCUGCUCCUUGCACACACCGCCCGUCAAACCACCCGAGCAGGGUUUAGAUGAGGCUUCAUUUUCAAUGGGGUCAAAUCUAAGCUCAGCGAGGAGGGUUAAGUCGUCACAAGGUAACCGUAGGGGAACCUGCGGUUGGAUCACCUCCU